UUCCAGCUCCAAUAGCGUAUAUUAAAGUUGUUGCAGUUAAAAAGCUCGUAAUCGAAUUUCGGGGUUAGUAGGCUGGUCAUGCCUCCGGUAUGUACUGGUCUCACUGAUUCCUCCUUCCUGAUGAACCGUAAUGCCAUUAAUUUGGUGUUGCGGGGAAUCUGGACUGUUACUUUGAAAAAUUAGAGUGUUUAAAGCAAGCUAACGCUUGAAUACAUUAGCAUGGAAUAAUGAAAUAGGACGUUCGAUCCUAUUUUGUUGGUUUCUAGGAUUGACGUAAUGAUUAAUAGGGAUAGUUGGGGGCAUUAGUAUUCAAUUGUCAGAGGUGAAAUUCUUGGAUUUAUUGAAGACUAACUACUGCGAAAGCAUUUGCCAAGGAUGUUUUCAUUAAUCAAGAACGAAAGUUAGGGGAUCGAAGACGAUCAGAUACCGUCGUAGUCUUAACCAUAAACUAUGCCGACUAGGGAUCGG
This 468-nucleotide ribosomal RNA is filed under the name uncultured Glomus. RNAcentral's name for it is "SSU rRNA". It matches the Rfam family "Eukaryotic small subunit ribosomal RNA", at positions 583 to 1056 of the family's 1831-position model. The record is from RNAcentral. Lineage: Eukaryota; Fungi; Glomeromycota; Glomeromycetes; Glomerales; Glomeraceae.